Molecule: long non-coding RNA, 810 nt
Organism: Aegilops tauschii subsp. strangulata
Lineage: Eukaryota; Viridiplantae; Streptophyta; Magnoliopsida; Poales; Poaceae
Source: RefSeq, a predicted model, not a curated record
CGCGUCUUUUUUCUCCAUCGCUGGUAAGUGGGCUGUCCCUUCCUCACAGUUGUGACAGGAGACAACAUUUAUUUGGAGAAAUACGCAGCAUUCACACAUCACGCUCAGGCCAUUACAGACAACAGUACACACAUGGGCACACGGUAUACAGUAGACACACGAGUGCCUAUCACUACAGCACACCAUGUUGACCGAGGGACGACUCUGACCAUUUAUAAUCCCGUGGAGUCUCAUACGAAUCCAAGACUAAUCGCCAGACAACCUUCUCUGCGCGAAUAGUUCCUUGCCUAUAAAACAAAGAUAUUGAGAAUAGCCAACAGAGAAGCUGGACACGAUCACACGAGGAUGGAGCGUUCUUCUUCCUUGCUCGCCCGCAGCAGCGUCGCCCUCCUGCUGCUGCUGGCUCUCCUACUCUGUUCCUUGGCGUGCUCGGCAGCGGUCCAAGUUUCUCUGGACGGAAACCGCGAGGGGCAACGACCUCCGGCGCCCUGGGCAUCAGGCGCGAGGUCGAAGUACUGCCCAGGCUGCAGCGACGACGGCGUCCCUCCGCCGCCACCGCCGCCGCCUGCAACUACGUCGGCACUUGCGCCUCACCGCAAGACCCUGGGGGUUGCUGCGAGGAUCCCUUCCACGAGAACCACCUAUACUAGAUGAUAUAUAUUGUUUUGUUGAUGAUGAUCAGACGGCUAAGAGUCAAAGCAGAGAAAUCUGAGCUAAGCCUUUACGACCCAGACAUGUUGCAUGUUCGCUCUCCAAAUUAAUUCUAAGCGGAAGUUCUACCAUGACCGACACCCAUCUUGUGGUACUAGA